Molecule: non-coding RNA, 246 nt
Organism: Pelobates cultripes (western spadefoot toad)
Lineage: Eukaryota; Metazoa; Chordata; Amphibia; Anura; Pelobatidae
Source: the annotation of a GenBank genome assembly
CGCACCUCCACCAUCACCUGCAAUGAACACUACUCCAUAUCAAAGCCUAUUUCUACGUUAAUAGCGAUAAAUGUGGCAAACUGCUUGCCCGCAUUCUCAACAAAAAGAGAAAUAAGUCGUAUAUAGCCUGCCUACGGGAUAUCCAAGGCCAACCACAGUGACCACCUGACAGAAUAGCCCAUGUGGCUCGUGGGUACAUUUCUCCACUGUGUUUGAAAAAACCCAUACCGGACUCCCACAGCAUGC